AACAGAAGCCUUCGGGUAGAAGAUUUGUGGAUCGAGCGGCGGACGGGUGAGUAACACGUGGGCAACCUACCUAUAAGACUGGGAUAACUCGUGGAAACAGGAGCUAAUACCGGAUGUAUCGUUUGAACGCAUGUUCAAACAAAUAAAGGCGGCUUUACGGCUGUCGCUUAUAGAUGGGCCCGCGGCGCAUUAGCUAGUUGGUGGGGUAAUGGCUCACCAAGGCGACGAUGCGUAGCCGACCUGAGAGGGUGAUCGGCCACACUGGGACUGAGACACGGCCCAGACUCCUACGGGAGGCAGCAGUAGGGAAUCUUCCGCAAUGGACGAAAGUCUGACGGAGCAACGCCGCGUGAACGAUGAAGGUUUUCGGAUCGUAAAGUUCUGUUGUUAGGGAAGAACACGUACCGUUCAAAUAGGGCGGUACCUUGACGGUACCUAACGAGAAAGCCCCGGCUAACUACGUGCCAGCAGCCGCGGUAAUACGUAGGGGGCAAGCGUUGUCCGGAAUUAUUGGGCGUAAAGCGCGCGCAGGCGGUCUUUUAAGUCUGAUGUGAAAUCUUGCGGCUCAACCGCAAGCGGUCAUUGGAAACUGGAAGACUUGAGUGCAGAAGAGGAGAGUGGAAUUCCAUGUGUAGCGGUGAAAUGCGUAGAUAUAUGGAGGA
Molecule: ribosomal RNA, 662 nt
Filed under: uncultured bacterium
Lineage: Bacteria
Description: bacterial SSU rRNA
Rfam family: Bacterial small subunit ribosomal RNA
Source: RNAcentral